GAAUUCGCCCUUAGAGUUUGAUCCUGGCUCAGAAUCAACGCUGGCGGCGCGCUUAACACAUGCAAGUCGAACGAGAAAGUGGAGCAAUCCAUGAGUAAAGUGGCGCACGGGUGAGUAACACGUGGGUAAUCUGCCUCUGGGUGGGGAAUAACUCUGGGAAACCGGAGCUAAUACCGCAUAAGCCCGCAAGGGGAAAGGUGAGAAUCGCCGAGAGAGGAGCCCGCGGCCGAUUAGCUAGUUGGUGGGGUAAAAGCUCACCAAGGCUGAGAUCGGUAGCCGGCCUGAGAGGGCACACGGCCACACUGGCACUGAAACACGGGCCAGACUCCUACGGGAGGCAGCAGUGGGGAAUCUUGCACAAUGGGGGAAACCCUGAUGCAGCGACGCCGCGUGAGCGAUGAAGCCCUUCGGGGUGUAAAGCUCUUUCGGCAGGAACGAUGAUGACGGUACCUGAAGAAGAAGCUGCGGCUAACUACGUGCCAGCAGCCGCGGUAAUACGUAGGCAGCGAGCGUUGUUCGGAGUUACUGGGCGUAAAGCGUGCGUAGGCGGUUUUGUAAGUUUGGUGUGAAAUCUCCCGGCUCAACUGGGAGGGUGCGCCGAAAACUGCAAGGCUGGAGUGUGGGAGAGGUAGGCGGAAUUCCUGGUGUAGCGGUGAAAUGCGUAGAUAUCAGGAGGAACACCUGUGGUGUAGACGGCUUACUGGACCAUGACUGACGCUGAGGCACGAAAGCGUGGGGAGCAAACAGGAUUAGAUACCCUGGUAGUCCACGCCCUAAACGAUGCAUACUUGGUGUGGGUA
This 800-nucleotide ribosomal RNA is filed under the name uncultured bacterium. Its description in RNAcentral is "bacterial SSU rRNA". It matches the Rfam family "Bacterial small subunit ribosomal RNA", at positions 1 to 828 of the family's 1533-position model. The record is from RNAcentral.